This 468-nucleotide ribosomal RNA is filed under the name uncultured bacterium. RNAcentral's name for it is "partial 16S ribosomal RNA". It matches the Rfam family "Bacterial small subunit ribosomal RNA", at positions 28 to 507 of the family's 1533-position model. The record is from RNAcentral.
GACGAACGCUGGCGGCGUGCUUAACACAUGCAAGUCGAACGGAAAGGCCCUGCUUUUGUGGGGUGCUCGAGUGGCGAACGGGUGAGUAACAAGUGAGUAACCUGCCCUUGACUUUGGGAUAACUUCAGGAAACUGGGGCUAAUACCGGAUAGGAGCUCCUGCUGCAUGGGGGGGGUUGGCAAGUUUCGGCGGUUGGGGAUGGACUGGCGGCUUAUCAGGUUGUAGGUGGGGUAGUGGCUUACCAAGGCUUUGAGUGGUAGCCCACAUGAGAGGGUGGCCAGCGACAUGGGGCCUACGGGAGGCAGCAGACUGCAAUGGUGGGCAGUGGUGGGGAGUAUUGCACAAUGGGGCCGAGCGUAAUGCGGCAGCGCCGGGGUCGGGAUGUGGUCUUUCGCGUAGUAAACAGCUUUCUCCUGAGACGAAGGGUGCAUGACGGUAAUGGGUAAAUAAGCACCGGCUAACUACGUG